RNA transcript from Manis pentadactyla (Chinese pangolin), 9713 nucleotides. It is a transcript of the gene named glycerophosphocholine phosphodiesterase 1, with no coding region annotated. The transcript is spliced from 21 exons. NCBI's taxonomy places the organism in Eukaryota, Metazoa, Chordata, Mammalia, Pholidota, Manidae. The record is from RefSeq and is a predicted model, not a curated record.
UUCUGGAGCAGCUGAAACCGGUUUGAGCGGAGCCGCUUCCUGCCGCUCGGCGCCGCUGCGGGCUUCCUCGGGGAACGCUGGCGAGGCGCCGACGGCGGCCGCCCGGCACCUCGGCCCCCGGCCCUUAUUCUCGGGCGCGGCGGCGGCAUCGCGGACCGCGGAUUUGCGGACCCUGUCGGUGAGGCGUGCGGCCGGGCGCUCGGUGCGGGGGCCGCGGGGGCCGCUCACGUGGCGGCUGAGCUGUCAGGGCAGCCGGGCCAGGGACGCGGCGGGGCCGAGGCGCGCGGGCAGGGUCCCCCAUCUCGGCCGGCACUGCCCGUCGGGGAAGCAGCGACCUGGACGUUCGCUCCGCACGACCUCCUAAAAUAAAUCCAUCAGAAUGACACCAUCUCAGAUUACCUUUGAAAUAAGAGGAACCCUUUUACCAGGAGAAGUUUUUGCAAUAUGUGGAAGCUCUGAUGCUUUGGGAAACUGGAAUCCUCAAAAUGCUGUGGCUCUGCUGCCAGAAAAUGAGACAGGUGAAAGUUUGUUAUCGAAAGCCACCAUUAUACUCAGUAGAGGAGUAUCAGUUCAGUAUCGCUACUUCAGAGGGUGCUUUUUAGAACCAAAGACUAUCGGUGGUCCAUGCCAAGUCAUAGUUCACAAGUGGGAGACUCAUCUACAACCACGAUCAAUAACCCCUUUAGAAAGUGAAAUUAUUAUUGAUGAUGGACAAUUUGGAAUCCACAAUGGUGUUGAGACUCUGGAUUCUGGAUGGCUGACAUGUCAGACUGAAAUAAGAUUACGUUUGCAUUAUUCUGAAAAACCUCCCGUCUCAAUAACCAAGAAAAAUUUAAAAAAAUCCAGAUUUAGGGUAAAGCUGACACUGGAGGGUCUGGAGGAAGAUGACGAUGAUAGAGUGUCUCCCACUGUUCUCCACAAAAUGUCCAAUAGCCUGGAGAUAUCCUUAAUAAGCGACCAUGAGUUCAAGUGCAGGCAUUCACAGCCAGAGUGCGGAUAUGGCUUACAGCCUGAUCGUUGGACAGAAUAUAGCAUACAGACAAUGGAACCAGAUAACCUGGAACUAAUUUUUGAUUUUUUUGAGGAAGACCUCAGUGAACAUGUAGUUCAGGGGGACGCCUUCCCUGGACACGUGGGUACAGCAUGCCUCUUAUCAUCUACCAUUGCUGAGAGUGGGAAGAGUGCUGGAAUCCUCACUCUCCCCAUCAUGAGCAGAAAUUCCAGAAAAACAAUAGGCAAAGUGAGAGUUGACUAUAUAGUUAUUAAGCCAUUACCAGGGUACAGUUGUGACAUGAAAUCUUCAUUUUCCAAGUACUGGAAGCCAAGAACACCACUGGAUGUUGGACAUCGAGGUGCAGGGAAUUCUACAACAACUGCUCAGCUUGCUAAAGUUCAAGAAAAUACUAUUGCAUCUUUAAGAAAUGCUGCUAGUCAUGGUGCAGCCUUUGUAGAAUUUGAUGUGCAUCUUUCAAAAGAUUUUGUGCCUGUAGUAUAUCAUGAUCUCACCUGCUGUUUGACUAUGAAAAAGAAAUUUGAUGCUGAUCCAGUUGAAUUAUUUGAAAUUCCAGUAAAGGAAUUAACAUUUGACCAACUCCAGUUGUUAAAGCUCGCUCAUGUGACUGCACUAAAAUCUAAAGGUCUGAAAGAAUCUGUGGUUGAGGAAGAAAGUUCCUUUUCUGAAAAUCAGCCCUUUCCUUCUCUUAAGAUGGUUUUAGAGUCUUUGCCAGAAGAUGUAGGUUUCAACAUAGAAAUAAAGUGGAUCUGCCAACAAAGGGAUGGAAUGUGGGAUGGUAACUUAUCAACAUACUUUGACAUGAAUCUGUUUUUGGAUAUAAUUUUAAAAACUGUCUUAGAACAUUCUGGGAAGAGGAGAAUAGUGUUUUCUUCAUUUGAUGCAGAUGUUUGCACCAUGGUUCGGCAAAAGCAGAACAAAUAUCCCAUAUUAUUUUUGACUCAAGGAAGAUCUGAUAUUUACCCUGAACUCAUGGACCUCAGAUCUCGAACAACCCCCAUUGCAAUGAGCUUUGCACAGUUUGAAAAUUUGCUGGGGAUAAAUGCACACAGUGAAGACCUGCUCAGAAAUCCAUCUUAUAUUCAAGAGGCAAAAGCUAAGGGACUAGUCAUAUUUUGCUGGGGUGAUGACACCAAUGAUCCUGAAAACAGAAAGAAAUUGAAGGAAUUUGGAGUUAAUGGUCUAAUUUAUGAUAGGAUAUAUGAUUGGAUGCCUGAACAGCCAAAUAUAUUCCAAGUGGAGCAGUUGGAACGCCUGAAGCAAGAAUUGCCAGAGCUUAAGAGCUGUUUGUGUCCCACUGUUAACCGCUUUGUUCCCUCAUCUCUGUGUGGGGAGCCUGGUAUCCAGGUGGAUGCCAACGGCAUCGAUAAUGUGGAGAGAGCUUAGAUUGUAUUGGGCAGAGGCCAUUUGGGGGCAUGCACCACUGUUCCCUUUUCAUCACUGAGCAUUGUUUAUCUAUGCCUUUUAGGUUUCUCAGUCCAAUGAAGCAAUAAUGAAGUAUUUUACUACAGUUCUUGCUAGGAUUUCAAGUAUGCUAUUUAAAUCACUUGGCCAGGUAUAAUUACCAGUCAGUCUCUUUACAAUGAGAAAAUUUAUUGAUUGGUAAAUAUUUUAAAACUAAGUGUGUAAACGUAUAAUGUUAAACAAAUGCUUAUUAAAAGCAUAGCACUUUGAAAUUAACUACAUAAAAUGUCUCAUAUUUACACUUCUUACAGCUUUCAUUUGAUCAGGUCUGAAAUAUUUAGUACUUGAGGAACAUGACUAUGCAUAAUUAUACCUGACCAUUGGAAAAAAUAAGUACCUCAAAUGCAUGCAUUUGCACUGGUGAGCCGAACUGCACACAUCUUUGUGCCAUCUGUGUAUAUAUGUAUUUUUUACAUGAAUUGACAUGCAAAUAGACCAUUUUCAUUCAGUAUGAACCUUGAGGCUGCUGCCAUUCUCCCACUUAACCAAACCAAUGCUUGUGUAAACAGCCUGGAGGUGAUCCUUGAAAAUUUCUUUCCUAAGUCUUUCAAAAGCUGUUUUGCAUAAAUGUUAAAAUUUCAAAAUGCUGCAGGGUAAUUUAAUGUAUAAAAUAUUAGAAGUAUGUAUUGCAUACUUAAAGUAGAUCAUAAUGUAUAAAUUCUAUUCGGUGCAUGCUUUAGUUUUUAAGCAUGAGAUUGUAUACGUUUACUGUUAAGUCCUUGCAUCCGUGGUGCUAGGUGAGAGUGAGAAGGUGUCAAGGACUGAAGAUCUUUUGUUGCCUAAAAAAAAAAAGCCUGUUUGUAGGUAUUUUAAAUAUGCUUAUUUUAAGUGUCUCUCACUACCUAUUACACACUUGCUUUGUGAGUUUUGUGUCUCUGUGUGUGUGUGUUUCUAUAAGUUGUACAGUAGUUAAGUCUCCAUGCAGACAAUUCUCCUAUUGGAAUUCUUUAUUGGUUAUUGUAUUUCAUGCAUGUAUUUAGAAAUGUAGAAGAUCCUACUAAAUGUAUAUGCAUGUUUUUAGGAUUAUAUUAAGGUUUCUUUCAUUAGAAGCAGAUUGUUUGGCAUAACUGUAACUUAAGAAUGAAUGUUAAAUAAAAUACACAGAUUUAUUUUCUUCAUUAUAAAAUGAAAUUUUAAGAAGGUGUUACUUUUAUAGAAUUGGUUCUAUAAUAUUAUGAGAAAUUGGAGUUUCAUGUCUACCCUAAAAGGGUGGCUUGUUUGCGUCUACCUUUGAGUGCAUGUUCUUCAUUAGGCAGUUUAUUCAUGUAUUGACAUAUUUUGGUAGCAGCUAAGAACCUAAGACUUGGAAUUAUACGCUCUAUCUUUUUAUUUUUUAAGCCAAACAAUGCAAUGUUUGUCUACUCUGAAUUAUGUGAAGAUAAGCUUUGAAAUCUAUAGUAUUGUGUUUGUAACACUGAUAUUUAAUGGAAAAUAGUUUAGGAAAUGGAGUCUUCUGCAAGGGUUCUGUAACUUUUCCCACAUUGAAUGAGAUUUCCAAUACUUUGAUAUGAAUUAGGCACUUUUAGAACACUCCUAAAAAAGAAUUUGUUUACUUCAUCUGCAGGUCUUUGUAGAAUACAGUUAUCAUUACUUUUUGGUAACUUGAUUAGCCAUAGGUGUGCAUUUCUAAUCCUGUUCAUUUGUUCUUCCCCUAUGCCUUUCCAGUCCAGCUUCAUUUUGAAGACUCACAGAUCAUAAGGGAAAGGAGAAGAGAAGGAAAGGAGAAAACAGAAAUGUGGGUGGGCUUCUGAAACUUACCUGCAAAGCCAAAGCCAAACUGUAUAACUUCACAGGAAGAAAACUGAAGCUAAGGAAAAGUUCUGUGGCAUCCCAUGAUUUCAGAUAUAUCACUACAGCCCAGUCCUCUCCCCUGAGCUCCACCUUCCACAUCCAACUCUCUGCCUCCAUCUGCACUUGAAGGUCUAAUGGGUAUCUCACGUUUCAUGUACCUCAACAAAGCUCUUCCUCCUCCCACCAAACUGCUCCUGUCCCACCGCCUUGUAUCCUAUGUCUCAGGAAAUGGCACCUAAGAGUCUUCCAUUAUUUUUCUCUUAAUAAAAUCUUGCAAUUAGUGUAACGUUAUAUUCUGUGAUAGGUUAGUUGCCCAUUUCUUCCUUUUCAGUUAAAAAAUAUAUAUAUAUUCUUUUGUUAAAUAGCAUGAGAAACACCUUACCAAGUGCCAGAAAAGGAAUUUUGAUGAGUUUUGGGUUAAUUUUCUAGGUUACUAUGAGGGAAGGAUUAGCAUUUUUAAAGCAAGUUUUUCCAUCCAGAACACUGUGUGUCUCCAUUCAUUAAUCUCCAUUAAUUUUACAUCCUCCAGUAAAAUGAGUUAUUUCAUGUUAGGCAUUGAAUACUUUUUAAAGUUUAUUCAUGUAUUUUUAAAACUGCUUAUGAAUUGAUUUUUUAAAAAUUCUACUGUAUUUCCCGCAAUACAUUGUUCAGUAAUAUGAAGUUGUUUUUUGUCUAUUUGUAGCUACUUUGCUGAAUUCAAUUAGUCAAAGUAUUUUGUUAUUUAAGUCUCUGGGAUUUUCUAGUUAGUUGAUCAUAGUAUCUGCAAAUGCAUUUUGAUUUUUAAUAAAAGUUCUUUAUCCUCUCUUAUUUCUGUAAGCUAAUAACAAUUGUAGGCAUCCUUGUUUCUUUCCUGGCAUGGAAAAGCAUAGUGGAUGCUGAAGUUUCUCGUAGAUGACCUUUAUCAAAUUAAGGGAAUUUCCUUUUCUUCUUGGUUUCCUAAAUGGUCACUUCCCCCUACCCCCACCCUCCCAAGGGUUAGGUUUUGAAAUUAUCCGAUGAGUUUUUGAAGAGUUAGAAAAUAGUAGUUUUUCAUUUAUCUUUUAAUGGAGUGAAUAUUGCUAAUGCCUUUUCUAAUGUUGAAUUACCUUAACCAGUAUAAACCCUAUUUUUGGUUGUUCUUUUAACAUUAAUUUGUUAAUUCGUUUAAUAUAUCUAUAUUCAUAAGUGAGAUUGCCUUAGAUUUCUUAGGCUGUUUAUGUCUAGUUUUAGAGACUAAUAGGAUAGUCUUAUAAACUGAGCUGAGUAGGUUUUUCUAUCUUGUGGAACAGUUUAUAUAAGAGAAUUAUCUGUUCAUUGAUGGUUUGAUAAACACUCCUAUAAAAUUAUACAUAUUUUCAAGUAUUUUUUUACUGCUCUUACAGUUUCUUUUAUUAGUUAUAACCUAUAAUAAUUCUCUACUUUUUUUAUUAUGUUUGUAUUUCUUUGGGAAAAUCAUCCAGUUUUAUUGCAUUUUUAAAAUAUUACUGGCAUACAAAGCUAUGUGUUUAGUGAGAGAAUGUGUGUGUGUGUGUGUGUGUGUGUGUGUGUGUGUAUUAUGUAAAAUCUCCCUAGAUGUGAUCACUUUUUUUGUUCUUAAUAUGUUUUGGGGGCUUGGGAGGGUGUAUUAUCCUUGAUAAGAUUGCAAAAGAUCUGGAUCUUUUUUUUUAAAAAACUGGGCUUUGGUAGAACUGAGCAGUGUUUUUACUAUCUCAUUAAUUACUGGUCUUAAAUUUAGAUUUUAAAAUUCUACCUAAUUGGAAAUUAAUUUUGUAUCUGUUCUUGUUUAUUGAGUUGUAUCUACCUCGAUACUAAAUAUAGUUAUAAUUCUGUAACAAUGGCAUAAUAGCAUUAACCUUGGAUACAUAUAGUUUUAAUAGAAGUGGAAGAUGAACUUUAACUUAAAAAGAAAAAAUAUGCUUUUUUAAAAGCUAUAUAAUAAUGGAACUACACAAUAUAUAAAGUAUAAACCUUGUUUUUUAGUUUCUAUCUAGUUUGAGCUGAAUUUCCUUAUGUUGUAAUUCAUUAAAGCAUAACCAAAAUCAAAUAUUUGCUGAGGGCUUGAAUAGGAGAAUAAAGCAGCUUCUGUCCUCAACAUGCUUGUUAUUUAGUUGAGGUAAUUAAUAGUGUUUUAAAAAAUGCAGAAUUGUAGCAGUUGUCCAAAACAAGACUGCAAUAGAAGGAAAGUCACUGAGGUAUACCCCAAUGCUCAUUUAAUAACACAGAUCCAUUCUUUCACCUCCACUUCAACCAGAAUGGCUCUCUUUGAUGUGUUUUGUUUCUCCUAGUAGAGAUGUGAUUUAAAGAUGAGGUUCUUUACCUAAAAAUACUUGAGAUGCCUAUUAGAUGUGUAAGUGGAGGGGUGGGGGCUUGCCUGUUGGAUGAUUUCCUCAGUAUUGUCUUCCAAUUUCCUUAUUCACAGUUCAACUAUAUCCAGCUCACUUUAUUGAUAUUAUUUAUCCUUUCUGUUUUUAUUAAAUAAUUUACAGUUCUUUUUAUGGAAGUAUAACUUCCAUUUACCUCUUUAAACAUUCUCAAGCCAUUUUAUUAUUUCAGUUUAUCUUAUUCUUUCCAGGCUGUUCUGGAAUGAAUUCCUAUUCUAAUUUUGUUGCUGUCUUUCUUAACAUUGUUUCCUUAUGUGUUUUGGAGUUUUGGUAUGCAAGAUCAUGUUUUUGUUUCUUUCCUUCUUUCUUGUCCUACAGUUGCUACCCUUAGGAGUUCCAGGACCUCAUCUAAAUCCAAGUAUAUGAUCGCACUUGAUAAUUAAUGCCCCUAAGGACUCUGAAGACAUUGCACCCCACCCAGAGUUAUAAGAUGGCAUCAUUUUGAUUUCUGGUCCAAGGACAUUUUUAUGUUUUAUCCUUUUUUUGAUUUCUCUUUUUGUAGUUUGCCCAUUAUUCCUGUGUGUUUGGAGCAAAGAUCUGUUUGAUGUUUUAGUUUUGGCAUAAACUCACCAAAUCAUCACACAGUGUUAAAAAUCCCCAUCGUCCCAGAGGGCUGUGAUGUAGGUUCCCCCUCCCCAGAGGGGACCAGAGUUAAUGUAGUUAGGUACAGUGGAGGUUUGUGGUUCCAAAGCUGCCCAAUUCCUACCUCCUACUUUUGGAAGCAUCAUUUCAUUUUUGGGAAUUCUACUUCUCCUGUUGGGUACAGUCUUGGGGGCCUGUAAAAUAAAUUAUCCUCCUUUCCCCCAGCCAAGGACUAGGUGCAUGAACAAAGCCAGACCAACAGGACUCUUCAGACCCUCUCCCAGAUCACUGAAUAUUGAUCAGAGCAGCCAGAGUAUCAAACAAGUUUUUAGAUUCCCCAGUCCAGGGCAUCCUAAGUGGUUCCUAUAGGGAAGCCCAUAGAAUCUUCCUGAUUCUUGUUCUUUCUGACCUGGCUGUUUGGCCUUCCCUUCAAUUCUGUGAGAUCCCCUACAUUGUUCUAGUAAAUUCCUUUCUUAUACUAGAGGCAGAUUUCAUUACACCCAGGAAAACUUGACUGGUAGAAUAUUUACCCUUAAAAAUAUGUGUGCAUCUACAAGCAUGUAAAUGUUCAAAUACAAUUUUUACAUACUAUGCUUGCAGUUCAGCAGCUUGCAGUUUCUUCACACAUCAGAUACUUCAUGUACUCAACAUGAAACAAGAAGUAAUUCAAUUUGGUUCUAAUCCAGCUUAGAAUGGGGAUAAAUGAACAACUGGUGGAGUAUAUCUCAGUUAACCAAGCAGGUGUCUUAGUGAAUUAAGAGCCCAGCCUGGGCUUUUGCUGUCUUGUGAACAGUGUGGCUAGAGUGGCUCCAUCCUCCCUCCAAUAUUUACUUCUGUUGUUUCCCAGCCUUGUCUCCCACCGUCCUCAUUCCAAGCUCUCCUCUCAUGUCAUACUCUUCUACUCUGUCUUAGAAGGCCCUAAGACUCUCCCUGGCAUCUUUGUUUUUGCCAUUUUUCUAUAAUUUCUCCUUUCUGCAAGACCAGAUUCCUGAAGGCUUUUAUGAAUACCCCGGCCUACAGGACUAUGCCCUUCCUUUCCCCACUGAAUUCCCAGAGUAGCUGAUUACUGUUCACUUGACAGUUGCUUGCUUUGUUACUUAUUACAGAGUUUACUUAACUCUAGGAUAUAAAGAACAGUUAGAUACUGCUUUAAUGACAUGUCAGAGAGGCUUGUCUCAGUGUUUGAGAUACAUAAAACUUGUCUUCUGUCUUUUGGGUGCUCAUGAUGGCAUUAUAUCUGUGCCAUUAAGUGAACAGAUCCCACACUCAAAAAAGAAAUUUAUUUCAUUACCCAGCACUAAAGAUAGGGAAAAAGCCAGUUGCUCAAAAAGGGAUUUGACUCAACUUCCACCUCAGAAACCUAGCAUGUAACUGUCUUCCCCAUAUUACUCACCUCUUCCUCCACUGUGACAUGAGUUCCCUCACCUCUAGGCCAGUGUUUGUCUUCCCGCUGCUCCCUGGCACUGGCACUCUGUUGCCCCGCCAGUAGCUGAUGAUUAGAGAGGGGACAAUACUCCUCUAUCUUGGACUGGCCAAUGGUUAAUGACCAGUGACCAAUUUCCUCCAUGGCUGGUUCUGUUAGCUUUCAGAAACCUUGGGAAUUGCAUAUUGGAGAGACCAAGGUCCUGCAUGUCCUCAGUCACUGGCGCCAGGACUUCUGGUCACAGAUCUGACCCUAUAGGUGCCCCAUAGGAAUGCCUUGGUUAUGGCACACAUAGAGAACUUUUAAAUAAUAAAUUUCUUGUUUUGGUAACAGAGUCAGAUAUUUUAAUUUAUGAGAACUAAAAUCUAACGUCAGCCUAUGUCAAUCAGAGGUGAUAAGAGUCUCUUGAAAAUCGAUUUCUCAGAUGGCCAGGAGCCCAGCAAUGUGUAGAUAUUUAAAUAUUUAGUACCUUUUAUUACAGAUGAAAUGGUUUCAUAAUGUCACUUCAGUUAAUAUCCACAGGAAAUGAACUGAGCUGAAUGAAGAGAAGAGUCUGUAAUACUCUGAAGAUGAGAAUGGUAAAUGGCUGUUUUCUAUCUACUAAAGGCCAGCGAAGAAGAAAAGAUGCAAAGAUUUGGGGGCAGGAUUUAUGUUGACAGUAAGGAAGGGUCUCCCCCUGUAAGUUUUUAAACAUGAGCAGGUAGUAGUUUUGUUUUGUUUUUUAAUUAGUGGGCUACUCUGGGAUGAAAUGGACUACAGUUUCUCAUGACCCACAAAAAGAACGAACAAUUAACUUCAUUUUUUUCUGACCUUAUGUGGGAGCCAUUUUCACAGUUCUUUAGAAGUUAAGUAUACACCUAUCAUACAUCCAGCCAUUCUGCUCUUCAUUUUUUACCCAGGAAAAAUGAAAGCCUAUGUCGACAUAAAGACUUGAACAUGCAUGUUCAUGGUGGUGUAUCUAUAAGCCCCAAACUGGAAACAACCUAUAUGUCCACUAAGAAGUGAAUGGAUACAAAAAUUGUGGUUUAUCUGUAUAAUUAUUUUCAUUAGUAAAAAAGGAAUAAAUCAAUACAGCACUGUA